This 478-nucleotide ribosomal RNA is filed under the name Colletotrichum crassipes. Its description in RNAcentral is "eukaryotic LSU rRNA". It matches the Rfam family "Eukaryotic large subunit ribosomal RNA", at positions 116 to 603 of the family's 3401-position model. The record is from RNAcentral. Lineage: Eukaryota; Fungi; Ascomycota; Sordariomycetes; Glomerellales; Glomerellaceae. RNAcentral also lists the same sequence under 1 other name.
UGAAAUCUGGUCCUUGCGGCCCGAGUUGUAAUUUGCAGAGGAUGCUUUUGGCGCGGUGCCUUCCAAGUUCCCUGGAACGGGACGCCUUAGAGGGUGAGAGCCCCGUACGGUUGGACACCAAGCCUUUGUAAAGCUCCUUCGACGAGUCGAGUAGUUUGGGAAUGCUGCUCUAAAUGGGAGGUAUAUUUCUUCUAAAGCUAAAUACCGGCCAGAGACCGAUAGCGCACAAGUAGAGUGAUCGAAAGAUGAAAAGCACUUUGAAAAGAGGGUUAAACAGCACGUGAAAUUGUUAAAAGGGAAGCGCUUGUGACCAGACUUGCGCCCGGUGAAUCACCCAGCUCUCGCGGCUGGGGCACUUUGCCGGCUCAGGCCAGCAUCAGCUUGCCGUCGGGGACAAAAGCUUCGGGAACGUAGCUCUCUUCGGGGAGUGUUAUAGCCCGUUGCACAAUACCCUUCGGCGGGCUGAGGUACGCGCUCC